RNAcentral lists this transfer RNA (72 nucleotides) under Fidelibacterota bacterium. RNAcentral describes it as "tRNA-Glu". It matches the Rfam family "tRNA". From Rfam's summary of the family: Transfer RNA (tRNA) molecules are approximately 80 nucleotides in length. Their secondary structure includes four short double-helical elements and three loops (D, anti-codon, and T loops). Further hydrogen bonds mediate the characteristic L-shaped molecular structure. tRNAs have two regions of fundamental functional importance: the anti-codon, which is responsible for specific mRNA codon recognition, and the 3' end, to which the tRNAs corresponding amino acid is attached (by aminoacyl-tRNA synthetases). tRNAs cope with the degeneracy of the genetic code in two manners: having more than one tRNA (with a specific anti-codon) for a particular amino acid; and 'wobble' base-pairing, i.e. permitting non-standard base-pairing at the 3rd anti-codon position. The record is from RNAcentral. Lineage: Bacteria; Pseudomonadati; Fidelibacterota.
GGCUCGUUCGUCUAGGGGUUAGGACGCCGCCCUCUCAAGGCGGUAACACGGGUUCGAUUCCCGUACGAGCUA